UCAAAAUGAUGAAAUUCCACUUAAUUGGUCCGUGUUUCUGAAAUUAGGGAGGUCUGGUUGA
Molecule: small nucleolar RNA, 61 nt
Filed under: Fukomys damarensis (Damara mole-rat)
Lineage: Eukaryota; Metazoa; Chordata; Mammalia; Rodentia; Bathyergidae
Description: Small nucleolar RNA SNORD18
Rfam family: Small nucleolar RNA SNORD18
About the family: U18 is a member of the C/D class of snoRNA which contain the C (UGAUGA) and D (CUGA) box motifs. It is encoded in introns of ribosomal protein L1 in Xenopus and human, and in introns of elongation factor 1 beta in yeast.
Source: Rfam by way of RNAcentral